Molecule: ribosomal RNA, 524 nt
Filed under: uncultured bacterium
Lineage: Bacteria
Description: bacterial SSU rRNA
Rfam family: Bacterial small subunit ribosomal RNA
Source: RNAcentral
AUACCGCAUAACAAUGGAUGACACAUGUCAUUUAUUUGAAAGGGGCAAUUAUUCCACUACAAGAUGGACCUGCGUUGUAUUAGCUAGUAGGUGAGGUAAUGGCUCACCUAGGCGACGAUACAUAGCCGACCUGAGAGGGUGAUCGGCCACACUGGGACUGAGACACGGCCCAGACUCCUACGGGAGGCAGCAGUAGGGAAUCUUCGGCAAUGGGGCAACCCUGACCGAGCAACGCCGCGUGAGUGAAGAAGGUUUUCGGAUCGUAAAGCUCUGUUGUAAGUCAAGAACGGGUGUGAGAGUGGAAAGUUCACACUGUGACGGUAGCUUACCAGAAAGGCGGCUAACGUACGUGCCAGCAGCCGCGGUAAUACGUAGGUCCCGAGCGUUGUCCGGAUUUAGUUGGCGUAAAGCGAGCGCAGGCGGUUUGAUAAGUCGUGAAGUUAAACGGCGUGUGGCUACGAACCAUAGUUCGCUUUAGGAAACUGUCAAACUUGAGUGCGAGAAGGGAGUAGUGGAACUUCUAG